UUUACUAGCAAGGUGUACCUAAUAAAGUGGCCAGUGAGUGUAUAUGUUAUAUGUGUUUAUGUUAAUUAUCAAAAGCCUUAUUGAGUUGAAGCAGGAAAAGCAGUCUUCCUUAACAGAGCUUCACCAACCCUGAGAACCAAAACCUUCUACUCAUCCAGCGAAUCGGAGGGUGAGGAUGAGCAGGGGAAGAAGUUUAAGAUUAAGAUCAAACCCUUGGCGCCGGACAAUGGUACCGUGCCCACCAUGGAUGAACUGAAAGCCUCUGUGGGCACCUUGGCCAUCUCCCCAUCCCCACUGAGGAGAAGUCCGGUAAGUGUGAUGGUCUUCUGAUAUCUUGAGACACUGACGCAUGACGUGAAACAUAUUUUUGAGUUUUACUGUGCGGUUGCAUUAGCAUGUUUUAUUAUUGUCUAUGUGCAUUAAGACUGGCUUGAAUUCCAUUUUACAGGCUUUGAAUACUCUGUGGUAAUUCUCAAUAUGCAAAUGUAUGGAGAGGAAUUUGUGCCAAAUUGAAUUUCUCAUAGAAGUUUUUCUUUUCAUUAUUGCCGCUAUAGGACAGUAAUGUGUGUGUGUGCUUUGUAUUUCACUGUUUUCACUGUGACAAUUGCAUUUUAAUGGAAAUACGUUUAAAACACUGCACAAUACAAAGCAAUAUAGCCUUUAUUACACUUCAAAGUGCAUAGUAUUCAGAUUUGAUAUGAAUUCAGUUUACAAUGCAAAUGAUUUUUUAGUAAAGUGACAUGUAAACAAUGUAACAGCGUAACAUUUGGGAGCGAUGAGGAGGCGGACGCAUACGCAGAGAUAAGCGAGGUUUAUUCGGGGCAAAUCCAGAUUCGGGGUCAGAACAGUCCAGGGUCAAGGAGCCAACACGGAGAGAUCGGGGUACAGACAUUAAAAACAGAUACACAGAACUACACGUCAAACAAAGACCAGCAAGGGACUAGGUGAAAAAACACAGGGCUUAAAUACUACAGGGAUAAUGAUGGUUAACAAGACACAGGUGGAAAACAGGUGGUUACAAUCAGGGGCGGAGUCAAGAAACAAGGGGGCAGGACAGGGAAGAAUCAAAACAAAGAAAGCACAU
Molecule: long non-coding RNA, 1084 nt
Organism: Pygocentrus nattereri (red-bellied piranha)
Lineage: Eukaryota; Metazoa; Chordata; Actinopteri; Characiformes; Serrasalmidae
Source: Ensembl